CCAAGGAGAAUAAAAUCGGCGUAGACGAGGAGAUGGUAACAUGAAGUGGACGAUUAAAUGAAAGGUCUGAGAUCGCUCUUCAGUCUCCCCCACAUCUGCCCAGCUCGCCAGGAAAAACUUGGCCAUUUCUGUGUCGUUACGCUUGCUCAACCAAACUCGCAGCAAAAAACAUCUCUCUCUCUCUCUCUCUCUCUCUUCCUCUUUCUUCACAGAAUUCCCAAUCUAUGGUUUGUUUUUCAAAUACUGUACCAAGGAAAUGAUCAACAGCAACGCAGCCUCCUCGCCUGCGAAGCCGCCUCCACCUCCGCCUACUCAACCGCCACAAUCAAUGGCCAUUUCAUCAUCUACAGCUACCACAUCAUCAACCGCACCACCUACGGCUGAUGGCUCAGGCAAGAAGGUGAGGAAGCCCUACACCAUCACCAAGUCCCGCGAGAGCUGGACCGAAGAAGAGCACGAUAAGUUCCUCGAAGCUCUUCAGCUGUUUGAUCGUGACUGGAAAAAGAUAGAAGAUUUUGUGGGUUCAAAGACAGUGAUCCAGAUUCGGAGUCAUGCACAGAAAUACUUUUUGAAGGUCCAAAAGAAUGGGACAAUUGCACAUGUCCCUCCUCCCCGCCCCAAGCGCAAAGCAAGUCAUCCUUAUCCACAAAAGGCAUCUAAAAAUGUUUUAGUUCCACUCCCAGCAUCCAUGGCAUACACUUCUUCAAUAAAUACACUUGCACCUGGAUAUCCUCCAUGGGAUGACACUUCCUUGCUAAUAAAUACUGCAACAAGCAAAAUUAUGCCAUCACAAGACGAAUUUACAAAUCUUCAGGGGGCUGAAGCUGAUAUUGGAUCAAAGGGCGUAGCAAGUUUAAGUAACAAUAACAUUAGCAGCAUGGGGAACCUACGUAGAAAACUGCCAAGUUCUGAGAUACCAAAACAAGCGAAAAAGGCUCCUGUGCUUCAUGGUUUGCCAGAUUUUGCUGAAGUAUAUAGCUUUAUUGGGAGUGUCUUCGAUCCAGACACAACUGAUCAUGUUCAAAAGCUCAAGGAAAUGGAUCCUAUAAAUUUUGAAACUGUUUUGUUAUUGAUGAGGAACCUCACAGUUAAUUUGUCUAGCCCUGAUUUUGAGCCAAUUUGAUUGCUCUGUAACCUUGGCUAGUUGAUCUCCUUGGUUAAUUCAGAGAAAGGUCCUGUCAUCAUGUGACAUUAAUGUGCUGGGAGUUACUGCCAAGAACCAAACUAAUGAUAUAUCAACUUGAAGUUUUUGCUACUCACAGCUUGCUGACUGUAGGGACCAGGUGAUGUGUAGCCAGAAUGUCUUGCUCCUUCACUGGAAUUAGUAGUGCCUAGCUCGGAAUAUCAGUAGAGGCAAAGCACAGCAGCCGCAGCCAACAAAUGGCUGUGAGUGGAAGAAAGUUAUAUAGUGAAUUCUAAUGUCUGCAACUGCACCGAACUUAAUUUCCACUGAUCUCUGUAGGAAGGGUCGUUCGUAUUCUGUACAUGAUGGGUUCUUCAACCAAAAGUGUGUAUAUCUUGCGAGGUUUACUUGGUUGCUAUUUAACCAUUCAUUAAUAUAGUGUCAUAUCCACGUGUAACUAUGAGAUUGAACACAUUACAAUAGGAAAGCCUUAGACAUGUUGAUGUAGGUAAUCAAGUAGUUUUGUAUACUGUUGUUUUUCCUUUCUUAUUUGUUGUUUCUUCAGAUGUAUUAUGUUUGUUAGAGAAAGCUAAAUACAUUCAUUCCUACUGAUAUUUUGUCAAGAUUGUUACUAA
Non-coding RNA from Jatropha curcas, 1758 nucleotides. NCBI's taxonomy places the organism in Eukaryota, Viridiplantae, Streptophyta, Magnoliopsida, Malpighiales, Euphorbiaceae. The record is from RefSeq and is a predicted model, not a curated record.